This 465-nucleotide ribosomal RNA is filed under the name uncultured Klebsiella sp. RNAcentral's name for it is "bacterial SSU rRNA". It matches the Rfam family "Bacterial small subunit ribosomal RNA", at positions 338 to 795 of the family's 1533-position model. Lineage: Bacteria; Pseudomonadati; Pseudomonadota; Gammaproteobacteria; Enterobacterales; Enterobacteriaceae. The record is from RNAcentral.
CCUACGGGAGGCUGCAGUGGGGAAUAUUGCGCAAUGGGCGCAAGCCUGAUGCAGCCAUGCCGCGUGUGUGAAGAAGGCCUUCGGGUUGUAAAGCACUUUCAGCGGGGAGGAAGGCGUUAAGGUUAAUAACCUUGGCGAUUGACGUUACCCGCAGAAGAAGCACCGGCUAACUCCGUGCCAGCAGCCGCGGUAGUACGGAGGGUGCACGCGUUAAUCGGAAUUACUGGGCGUAAAGCGCACGCAGGCGGUCUGUCAAGUCGGAUGUGAAAUCCCCGGGCUCAACCUGGGAACUGCAUUCGAAACUGGCAGGCUAGAGUCUUGUAGAGGGGGGUAGAAUUCCAGGUGUAGCGGUGAAAUGCGUAGAGAUCUGGAGGAAUACCGGUGGCGAAGGCGGCCCCCUGGACAAAGACUGACGCUCAGGUGCGAAAGCGUGGGGAGCAAACAGGAUUAGAUACCCUAGUAGUC